CCUACGGGAGGCAGCAGUGAGGAAUAUUGGUCAAUGGACGAGAGUCUGAACCAGCCAAGUAGCGUGAAGGAUGACUGCCCUAUGGGUUGUAAACUUCUUUUAUAUGGGAAUAAAACGUUCCACGUGUGGGAUUUUGUAUGUACCAUAUGAAUAAGGAUCGGCUAACUCCGUGCCAGCAGCCGCGGUAAUACGGAGGAUCCGAGCGUUAUCCGGAUUUAUUGGGUUUAAAGGGAGCGUAGGUGGAUUGUUAAGUCAGUUGUGAAAGUUUGUGGCUCAACCGUAAAAUUGCAGUUGAAACUGGCAGUCUUGAGUACAGUAGAGGUGGGUGGAAUUCGUGGUGUAGCGGUGAAAUGCUUAGAUAUCACGAAGAACUCCGAUUGCGAAGACAGUUCACUGGACUGCAACUGACACUGAGGCUCGAAAGUGUGGGUAUCAAACAGGAUUAGAUACCCUUGUAGUC
RNAcentral lists this ribosomal RNA (460 nucleotides) under uncultured bacterium. Its description in RNAcentral is "partial 16S ribosomal RNA". It matches the Rfam family "Bacterial small subunit ribosomal RNA", at positions 338 to 795 of the family's 1533-position model. The record is from RNAcentral.